This 694-nucleotide long non-coding RNA is filed under the name Equus caballus (horse). RNAcentral's name for it is "lncRNA (ENSECAG00000050392.1)". The record is from RNAcentral. Lineage: Eukaryota; Metazoa; Chordata; Mammalia; Perissodactyla; Equidae.
GAAAGAGAUGCACUCAAGUUCAUGGGACAGGUGCACGGACGUCUUUGUGUUUAGGUUGAGGAAAACUGUCACCCACUAGCUUCCUGCCACUCUCCACUCUUGGGUUUCCCUCCUGGGUGAGUGCCCAUUCACUCACAAUGGAGCCGGGAGGAAGCAUCUGGAAGCCUUUUUGGAGAAAGAGGAGAGAGGCCAGCACUUCAAAUCAGGAGAGGAGUUGAGCUAGCAGGCCACAGCCACAGGAGGUUAGGGUGGGCUAGGGCGCCAUUGCCCCAGUUUGGGAGGCUCCAGACCCAGACAGCGAGAAUGCCACUAGCCUCAGGCUUGAGCCCUAUGCCUGGUGCCAUUCAGCUGCCACCUAUUUGGAUCCUAAUGUGCUUUGGGACCCCAGCAGUCAUAUGCCAGAGGUGGGCUCCUCUCUUGUCCUUCUGCUGGUCCCUCCUCCCGAGUUCCAGCCCCUGUGGGUCCUCCCUGCUCAUCCUUCAAGCCCUGAAAAGUCAACCCUUCUACAGACAGAACAUGGCAUCUGCGGAUCCAGUGAGCUCCGUAUCCUGAACUGCCUGCUGCCCCCAGAGGUGGAUCCAACGACGGGUCUACGGGACAAACAGGACGGAGGGAUACGGCGAGCAACAUCACGGAGGUGUAAGCAGCAGAAUCGUGACGCUAAGGACAUUUUCAGGACAAACAAUCUUGUUCC